This 73-nucleotide transfer RNA is filed under the name Felis catus (domestic cat). It matches the Rfam family "tRNA". From Rfam's summary of the family: Transfer RNA (tRNA) molecules are approximately 80 nucleotides in length. Lineage: Eukaryota; Metazoa; Chordata; Mammalia; Carnivora; Felidae. The record is from Rfam by way of RNAcentral.
AUCUGACUAGCUCAGUUGGUAGAGCACGUGAUUCUUGAUCUUAGGGUCAUGAGUUUGAGCCUCAUGUUGGGUG